This 254-nucleotide ribosomal RNA is filed under the name uncultured bacterium. RNAcentral describes it as "partial 16S ribosomal RNA". It matches the Rfam family "Bacterial small subunit ribosomal RNA", at positions 524 to 776 of the family's 1533-position model. The record is from RNAcentral.
CACGUAGGGUGCGAGCGUUGUCCGGAAUUAUUGGGCGUAAAGAGCUCGUAGGCGGUGUGUCGCGUCGGCCGUGAAAACCUGCAGCUUAACUGUGGGCUUGCGGUCGAUACGGGCAUCACUGGAGUUCGGCAGGGGAGACUGGAAUUCCUGGUGUAGCGGUGAAAUGCGCAGAUAUCAGGAGGAACACCGGUGGCGAAGGCGGCAUCCUGGACCGGUAUUGACGCUGAGGCGCGAAAGCUAGGGGAGCAAACGGG